This is a long non-coding RNA of Oncorhynchus masou masou (cherry salmon), 392 nucleotides long. RefSeq lists it as uncharacterized. The record is from RefSeq and is a predicted model, not a curated record. Lineage: Eukaryota; Metazoa; Chordata; Actinopteri; Salmoniformes; Salmonidae. The transcript is spliced from 3 exons.
GGCACGCUGAGGCACUGUGCACUCUGAACAGCUGACCAUGCAGGAACUAGGGGGAACAGAGGGGGAACCUGCUGAUUUACACUGGUAUGUCCAACCAGCCCCACAACUGCAAACCACAUGUAACCAUGCCAGUCCAGGACCUACACAUCCAGCUUCUUUACCUGCGGGAUCAUCUGAGACCAGCUACCCGGACAGCUAAUGAAACUGAGAACCUAUGGGUUUUCCUGUUAUCAACCUAUUGCCUGAUCUCCCGGACAACGUUUCCCUGCCUGUACUGUUGCCUUUUUGGACCCCCUGUGUAUGACCUUCUGGCUGUCCCUGGACCCAGCUACCUUCCUCCUACUGUGGUCCUUUACAAAUAAAAACCUGGUGCACCCUGCACUUGAAACCAG